AUCCAGCUGACGAGUUCUAAAUAGGACGAAACGUGCAUCCUGAAU
This is a non-coding RNA of Schistosoma mansoni, 45 nucleotides long. The record is from Rfam. Lineage: Eukaryota; Metazoa; Platyhelminthes; Trematoda; Strigeidida; Schistosomatidae.